CCCGUUGUACACACCGCCCGUCACGGCAUGGGAGUUGGUUUUACCCGAAGACGGUGCGCUAACCGCAAGGAGGCAGCCGGCCACGGUAGGAUCAGCAACUGGGCCG
This 106-nucleotide ribosomal RNA is filed under the name uncultured bacterium. RNAcentral's name for it is "partial 16S ribosomal RNA". It matches the Rfam family "Bacterial small subunit ribosomal RNA", at positions 1377 to 1482 of the family's 1533-position model. The record is from RNAcentral.